GGAUUAGAUACCCUGGUAGUCCACGCCGUAAACGAUGUGCACUAGAUCGGUGGCGGUCUGACCCGUUGCCGGUCGUAGAGAAAUCACUAAGUGCACCGCCUGGGGAGUACGGUCGCAAGGCUAAAACUCAAAGGAAUUGACGGGGGCUCACACAAGCGGUGGAGCAUGUUGCUUAAUUCGAAGCAACGCGAAGAACCUUACCAGGGUUUGACAUGCACGGAUUAGUUCUUGGAAACAGGAAUGACGCUCUUUGAGUGGAACGUGCACAGGUGCUGCAUGGCUGUCGUCAGCUCGUGCCG
This 299-nucleotide ribosomal RNA is filed under the name uncultured bacterium. Its description in RNAcentral is "partial 16S ribosomal RNA". It matches the Rfam family "Bacterial small subunit ribosomal RNA", at positions 775 to 1067 of the family's 1533-position model. The record is from RNAcentral.